RNAcentral lists this ribosomal RNA (485 nucleotides) under uncultured bacterium. RNAcentral's name for it is "bacterial SSU rRNA". It matches the Rfam family "Bacterial small subunit ribosomal RNA", at positions 10 to 507 of the family's 1533-position model. The record is from RNAcentral.
AGUUUGAUCAUGGCUCAGGACAACGCUGGCGGCGUGCUUAACACAUGCAAGUCGAACGGUGAAGGAAGAGCUUGCUCUUCCGGAUCAGUGGCGAACGGGUGAGUAACACGUGGGCAACCUGCCCCUGACUCUGGGAUAACUCCUCGAAAGAGGUGCUAAUACCGGAUACGACCACUUCGGACAUCCGAUGGUGGUGGAAAGUUUUUCGGUCAGGGAUGGGCCCGCGGCCUAUCAGCUAGUUGGUGGGGUAAUGGCCUACCAAGGCGACGACGGGUAGCCGGCCUGAGAGGGCGACCGGCCACACUGGGACUGAGACACGGCCCAGACUCCUACGGGAGGCAGCAGUGGGGAAUAUUGCGCAAUGGGCGAGAGCCUGACGCAGCGACGCCGCGUGAGGGAUGAAGGCCUUCGGGUUGUAAACCUCUUUCAGCAGGGACGAAGCGAAAGUGACGGUACCUGCAGAAGAAGCACCGGCUAACUACGUG